AACAUAGCCUUUUGUAACUUAUAGAAGGUGAUGCCUGCCCAAUGAUGAGGGAAUAAAAACUUAAUCGUUUAUAACCCCCAUUCAAUGGCCGCGGUAUUCCUGACCGUGAUAAUGUAGCGAAAUCAAUCGUCACUUAAUUGCUGACCAGUAUGAAUGGUAAUACGAAUGUCCCCCUGUCUCAAAAAAAGCUCCCGUGAAAUUGAAGGGGCCGUGCAUAUACGGCCCAAAACCUGUAAGACGAAAAGACCCUAUUGAGCUUUACUAUAUGUUCUUCUAUCCACUAAAAUUUCACUCUAACCGAUUAAAAUUUUAAUUCAGGAGAACUAGGUAGUUUCGUUGGGGCGACGGCCUCUUAAAAAGUACCAGAGGCUAGCCAUGGUUUUUCUUUAAUGUAUUAAGCCUGACUGUAAGGCUUAUCCGCCAAACAGACACUAACGUGAGCCAUAGCUUUCCACACUUAGAGAGAUCUAAAUGUGCCAAAACAUAAAAGUUACCAUAGGGAUAACAGCGUAAUUUUGUCGAAGAGCUCUUAUCGAUGACAAA
This 543-nucleotide ribosomal RNA is filed under the name Manania handi. RNAcentral describes it as "partial 16S ribosomal RNA". It matches the Rfam family "Bacterial large subunit ribosomal RNA", at positions 1812 to 2515 of the family's 2925-position model. The record is from RNAcentral. Lineage: Eukaryota; Metazoa; Cnidaria; Staurozoa; Stauromedusae; Haliclystidae.